CUCUGGGGCUGAGACACUGGAGAAGACCACACACCUCUGGGGCUGAGACACUGGAGAAGACCACACACCUCUGGGGCUGAGACACUGGAAGAGAUCACACACCUCUGGGGCUGAGACACUGGAGAAGACAACACACCUCUGGGGCUGAGACACUGGAGAAGACAACACACUUCUGGGGCUGAGACACUGGAGAAGACAAAGUCCUCUGGGGCUGAGACACUGGAGAAGACCACACACCUCUGGGGCUGAGACACUGGAGAAGACCACACACCUCUGGGGCUGAGACACUGGAGGAGACAACACACCUCUGGGGCUGAGACACUGGAGAAGACCACACACCUCUGGGGCUGAGACACUGGAGAAGACAACACACCUCUGGGGCUGAGACACUGGAGAAGACCACACGCCUCUGGGGCUGAGACACUGGAGAAGACCACACACCUCUGGGGCUGAGACACUGGAGGCGAUCACACACCUCUGGGGCUGAGAGCCUGAAGAAGACCACACACCUCUGGGGCUGAGACACCAUAUAUUAUUAGGGUGGGGAGAACAGAAGGAUUUUGUUGGAUCUGAAGACUGUAGUGGAGGAGGUACAGCUAGAGGUGAAGAGAGAGGAGUCGAAGAGGAGCGAGCUACAGCUGCAGUACACUAAGGACAGAUGUGCCUGGGAACUGGAGAGAGCUGAGCUGAAAUGCAGAAUCGCACAGUUGGAGGCUAGAGGAGGUCCUGUCGUUGAGCUGGGGCUGAGAACUCAGAGUCCAGAGCCCAGGGAGAGUCCUCUACAGCGGGGGACAGAGAGCAGCAGAGGAGGCUGCUGGUCGACACCCACACGGCCGCCAUGGACCUGCGCUGUCGGCUGGAGCUCAGCGAGAAGGGCUGGGUCCGAUCUGAACUGAUGGAGAGAUUCAACUCUGAGAGGAAGGAGGGGAGAGCCAGCUGGGAGACAUGCAGAGGAAAAUAGAGGAGAUGUACAAGGAGGUGAAGGUGAGGCAUGAGGUAUCUGGGGAGAUGAGAGAACCUGUAGGAGAGAUUACAGAGGAGGUCACCCUGAAUGUCAGUGUACAUACCACCAGCACAGGAUCCAGCAUGCUUAGCGACAACUCGACUUCCGACCCCCAGAACAGCAGCAGCAGCCAAUCAGAGCCCACCAACCAACGCGGCUCCUACCCCCGUCGUCACCGCAACGACGACUUCGCCGCCCACAGAAACCGGGCGGAUCACCGUGGCGACAGAGGAAACCCCCGUAACUAUGACGACUGUGUCGGUAACCAGGAAGUGGACAUGGCGGAACUGGAGGCCAUCCUGCGAGGGGUUGACAGAGACUCUCCCUCUAAAGGGGGUAUGGUUAAUGUCCGUCGCUCCUCCCACGGUGGAUCUAGUGUAGGAGUGACCCACAACACAGAGAUGAGCUCCGGGACAUGGAGUGACAAGAUGGAGAAUACUACAGCCCUCAAUGUCGCCCUGAAGGAGAUAGCCCGUGUGAGUGAAGAGCUGUGUAGCUACCAGGAUGAGAUCAGCAGGAAGUCCGG
Molecule: long non-coding RNA, 1529 nt
Organism: Oncorhynchus tshawytscha (Chinook salmon)
Lineage: Eukaryota; Metazoa; Chordata; Actinopteri; Salmoniformes; Salmonidae
Source: Ensembl